Molecule: ribosomal RNA, 561 nt
Filed under: uncultured bacterium
Lineage: Bacteria
Description: partial 16S ribosomal RNA
Rfam family: Bacterial small subunit ribosomal RNA
Source: RNAcentral
UGGGGAAUAUUGGACAAUGGGCGCAAGCCUGAUCCAGCCAUGCCGCGUGAGUGAUGAAGGCCUUAGGGUUGUAAAGCUCUUUCGCCGGUGAAGAUAAUGACGGUAACCGGAGAAGAAGCCCCGGCUAACUUCGUGCCAGCAGCCGCGGUAAUACGAAGGGGGCUAGCGUUGCUCGGAAUCACUGGGCGUAAAGCGCACGUAGGCGGAUCGUUAAGUCAGGGGUGAAAUCCUGGAGCUCAACUCCAGAACUGCCCUUGAUACUGGCGAUCUCGAGUUCGAGAGAGGUUGGUGGAACUCCGAGUGUAGAGGUGAAAUUCGUAGAUAUUCGGAAGAACACCAGUGGCGAAGGCGGCCAACUGGCUCGAUACUGACGCUGAGGUGCGAAAGCGUGGGGAGCAAAACAGGAUUAGAUACCCUGGUAGUCCACGCCGUAAACGAUGGAUGCUAGCCGUUGGGGGGUUUACCUCUCAGUGGCGCAGCUAACGCCUUAAGCAUCCCGCCUGGGGAGUACGGUCGCAAGAUUAAAACUUAAAGGAAUUGACGGGGUCAUAGCUGUUUCCU